This 73-nucleotide transfer RNA is filed under the name Ovis aries (sheep). It matches the Rfam family "tRNA". Rfam says of the family: Transfer RNA (tRNA) molecules are approximately 80 nucleotides in length. Their secondary structure includes four short double-helical elements and three loops (D, anti-codon, and T loops). Lineage: Eukaryota; Metazoa; Chordata; Mammalia; Artiodactyla; Bovidae. The record is from Rfam by way of RNAcentral.
UCCCUGGCAGUCCAGUAGUUAAGACUCUGCAUUUCCACUGCUGGAAGCUUGGGUUCAAUCCCUGACUAAGGAA